AUUGAACGCUGGCGGCAUGCCUUACACAUGCAAGUCGAACGGCAGCAUGGAAGAGCUUGCUCUUCUGAUGGCGAGUGGCGAACGGGUGAGUAAAGCAUCGGAACGUGCCGUGUAGUGGGGGAUAACGUAGCGAAAGUUACGCUAAUACCGCAUACGCACCGAGGUGGAAAGCAGGGGAUCGCAAGACCUUGCGCUAUACGAGCGGCCGAUGUCAGAUUAGCUAGUUGGUAGGGUAAAGGCCUACCAAGGCGACGAUCUGUAGCGGGUCUGAGAGGAUGAUCCGCCACACUGGGACUGAGACACGGCCCAGACUCCUACGGGAGGCAGCAGUGGGGAAUUUUGGACAAUGGGGGAAACCCUGAUCCAGCCAUGCCGCGUGAGUGAAGAAGGCCUCGG
This 396-nucleotide ribosomal RNA is filed under the name uncultured bacterium. RNAcentral describes it as "bacterial SSU rRNA". It matches the Rfam family "Bacterial small subunit ribosomal RNA", at positions 30 to 420 of the family's 1533-position model. The record is from RNAcentral.